CAUGCCGAAAAUCCGGCAGAGUUUCCCCUGUACCUGGGACGUACCCAACCUGCAAAAAUGCUCAAAUAACACUUCUAAAUUCUCAAUUCCCACAAUCACAUCUCAUCAAUAUCACAUGGCCCCUCCUGGGCCCUCCAAAUCAGACAAUACUCAAAAUCUUGAAAAUUACGUUUUAGUCCCUAUAAUUGACAUUUUUCAAAAAUCCACUC
This 209-nucleotide unclassified non-coding RNA is filed under the name Hevea brasiliensis (rubber tree). Lineage: Eukaryota; Viridiplantae; Streptophyta; Magnoliopsida; Malpighiales; Euphorbiaceae. The record is from RNAcentral.